CUCCCUUCUGCCUCUAGUAGUCCCCAGUGUCUAUUGUUCCCUUCUUUAUAUCCGUAUAUACUCAGUGUUUAGCUCCCACUUGUAAAUGAGAACAUGCAGUAUUUGGUUUUCUGUUCCUGCAUUGUUUACUUAGGAUAAUGGCCUCCAACAGCAUCCACAUUGCUGCAAAGGACAUGAUUCUGUUCUUUUUUAUGGCUGCGCUGUAUUCCAUGGCGCAUAUAUAUAUAUAUAUAUAUAUAUAUAUAUAUAUAUAUAUCACAUUUUCUUUAUCCAGUCCACCAUUGAUGGGCACCUAGGUUGAUUCCACGGCUUUGCUAUUGUGAAUAGUGCUGCAAUGAACAUAUAAGUGCAUAUGUCUUUUUGGUAGAACAAUUUAUUUUCUUUUGGGCAUAUACCCAGUAAUGGGAUUGCUGAGUUGAAUGGUAGUUCUGUUUUAAGUUCUUUGAAAAAUCUCCAAACUACUUUCCACAGUGCAUUCCCACCAUUGGUGUAUAAACAUCCCUUUUCUCCACAGCCUCGCCAGCAUUUGUUAUUUUUUUGACUUUUUAAUAAUCGCCAUUCUGACUGGUUUUGCAGAUGCUACUUUCAUACUAUAAAAAAUACUAUUCAGCCUGACAAGGUGGCUCACGCCUAUAAUCCCAGAACUUUGGGAAGCUGGGGCAGGCAGAUCCCUUCAGCCCAGAAGCUCGAGAUCAGCCUGGGCAACAUGGCCAAACCACGUCUCUACAAAAAAAAACAAAAAUUAGUGGGGCGUAGUGGUACACGCCUGUAGUCACGGCCACUUGGAAGGUUGAGGUGGAAAGAUCACUUGAGCCCAGGAGGUUGAGGCUGCAGCGAGCUGAGAUUGCCACUGCACUCCAGCCUGGCAACAGAGCAAGACCCUGUCCCAAAAACAAACAAACAAAAAAUGAAACAAAACAAAUAUAUAUUUUUCCAAUGUUGUAGUUUUUUUUAUUCCACUCUUUUGUACUAUAAUUAUGCUUUCCAUAAUUAUGGAAGCACUAAACAAUAUUGAACCUAGCGUGGCCAUUUUAAGUUCUCUGGGGACCCAGGCUCUCUUUCUCUGAAGACCCAAUCUCUUCAACUUAGCAAAUAUAUUUAAAUGAACCUAUUGCAUCCAUAAACCAUAAUAAACAAGUUUUUCUUUAAAUUUUGGAACAUUAAUAAGUUUUGCUCUUCAAUGAUUUGAUUAUGAUUGGUACUAUAGAAUGAUUGACUGAUUUAUCACACAUCAUCAAACAUACUUGGGAAUUCUUGCCAAGUGAGUAAAUCUAAGUUACAAAUGGAAUGAAAUUUUAUUAAUAGUAAAUUAAUAAAAUCAGUGUAAUUUUAUAUUUUGUAACCAUUAAAUAAUCAUUCAUUAGUUUAUCUUUUAUAGUUUCUCUUUCUGUUUUGGAAUCAAUUAUAGUUGGCCUCUCAUAACCACAGAUUUCACAUCCACAGGUUCAACCAACCAUGAAUCAAAAAAAAAAAAUAUAUAUAUAUAUAUAGGAUAAUUUCACCUGUACUGAACAUGUACAGACCUUUUUUCUUGUCAUUAUUCCCUAAACAAUAGAGUAAAACAACUAUCUGCAUAGCAUUUACACUGUAUUAGAUAUUUUAAGUAAUCUAGAGAUGAUUUAAAGUAUAGGUUAUAUGAAAAUGCUACAUCAUUUUAUAUAAGGAACUUGAAUAUCCUUGGAUUUUGGUAUCUGCAGGGGGUCUUGGAACCAACCCCCUAGAGAUACUGAGAGAUAACUAUAAUUCUUUUUAAAUUCUCAAACAUUUCUGAAUCCUGUGAGCAGCUAAUCAGCCCUGGGCACAAUGGCUAUAUGACUUUGGACAUAAGAAUUAAUACCCAAUUGCUUCAGCUGCCAAAUUCUGAUCCUGGUUCUAUCCCAGAUAUACUCCUGGGAAGUGCUCAGGUUCAAUGUCAUAAUCUUUUCUUUAUUUAUGAUACAGUCACUUUAUUAAUUGUUGUUAAUAAUACCUAUGUGGAAGCAAAGCAUUUGUUCUUUUCUUCAUUAAAUAAUGACAUAUGAUUGAUACUUUUAUACACUUCAAAUAAUUAAUAAAUGGUUAAGGGGAUCAGAACAUGCCACCUCCAAUUAUGCCACUUUGGUAUAUUAGUUAUUUUGAGCUGAAGGCAAUUGAGAAGCAGCAGAUGCAGGAAGGGCUCUCUGACCUUCCCGCUUCUACUUCAAAGCAGGGCAUACAUUUCCCAGAAUAAAAGUGCCUUUCCUGUCCCAGGAAGAGCAGAACAUUUUUAUCACCUGAGAUGGGGAGUUAACAGCAAGAUGAAUCCAUACCAACUUACUAAAAUAACCCUUCUCUUCCAUUAGUUUCCCCCUAUAUUUCCUAGUUGCUUUCCCAUGAUUUACUGCUCUAGCCCAGUUUUUUUUUUUUUUUUUUAGACAGAGUCUUGUUCUGUCACCCAGGCUGGAGUGCAGUGGCACAAUCGGCUCACUGCAACCUCUGCCUCCUGGGUUGAAGUGAUUCUCCUGCCUCAGCCUCCCGAGUAGCUGGGACUACAGACACGUGCCACCAUGCCCAGCUAAUUUUUUGUAUUUUUAGUAGAGAUGGGGUUUCACCAUGUUAGCCAGAAUGGUCUCAAUCUCCUGACCUCGUGAUCCACCUGUCUCAGCCUCCCAAAGUGCUGGGAUUACAGCCAUGAGCCACCGCACCCGGCCAGUAGACGGGGUUUCGCCAUGUUGGCCAGGCUUGUCUCAAACUCCUGACCUCAGGUGAUCCGCCCGCCUCAGCCUCCCAAAGUGCUGGGAUUACAGGCAUGAGCCACCACACUCAACCCAAACUUCUUUUUUCUUUGUCUUAUUGCAACUCAAAAAUUUAUCAUUCUUUGUUAAAAUUGCAUAUAGGCUCUCAGACCUAUCUGCUUCUUUAGGUCUUCAUUUCUGAUAUACAAAGGCCUCUAUAUAUACAUAAAAAUAUUGACAUCAAGUAAAAUGUGUAUGCUUUUCUCUUGUUAAUUUAUCUUUUGUCAGUUUAAUUAUCAGACCAGCCAUAGAACUUAAGAGGGUAGAAGAAAGUCUUUCCUGCCCUACAAUGGUAAUAUAUAAUACAACAAAUACCCUUUUAUUAACACAUAUUUAUCAGCAAAUUCUAGAAUUUCCUUCCUCCAAAAUUUUGGCAGGGUAAAUUGUUCUACUUUGUUGAAAUUAACAUAUGCAUUAAAAACAUAUCAUUUUUCCUUGUCCCAUGCUCAUUUUAUACUUUCUGUCUUCACUGACCCUUGCAGCCUCAUGAUUAGGCUUUUUAGUCUCUGGACGUAGGUUCUUGGGGAUACCAGAACUCAAUGUCCACUGGAGUAACAGCUUCAGGACUGUCAUUCUAAGGUCCACAGUUACUUCACAUCCUUAGGUUCUCUGUGGUGGCUAGACACCCCUACUUCCUAUUUCUGCAUUAUCUUUUUUUCUAAAUAUUCUCAAAUGAAUAACUCCUUUUAUACUAAAAAUUCUCCAAGUUUUGGAAAAAUAUAGAGGAAAAAAGUUCUGAUUUUAUAAUUUUCUGCCAGAUAAACUCAAAGUUGGGAAGAGAUUACUUUAAUCAUAAUACAGUUGAAUAUGUAGGAAAAUGUUAAAGACAGGUAGAAAGUACAAUGACAACACACUGGGGGGAGUUCAUUCAGCCACCUAUGUCAGGACCACCUGGGGGUCUAGAUAAAAACGUGUUUUUUGGAUUACCCCCCAGAACUGAGUCAGAUUAAAGUAACAUUUUUAAUCCGCUCCCUGGCAUUUCUGAAACAUUCUAUAGUUUGAGAACUGGUAGAACUUGCAGUUAUAGACACUAUUGGCCCACACAACACCUUUUUUGUCCUGCACCCAUUCAGAAGCAUAAAACUAUUUUUGCAUGGACUCUAUUCCAAGUCAUAUUUGCAGUGUGAAGAAGGGUGAUGGAAGACAGCAGUUCCUCCCUCUGACCACAAGGGAGAAUUUCCUUUUGAGGCUUCCAGGCCACCCUAUGAUUCCAGAGGAUAGGCCUUAGUACAGAAGGGCAGAGAAUAGCCAGGCUGUUCAUGUGGAAAGAGAAGUGUAAUAAUUCCAUAUGGUUUCCUCUUCUCAUGAUGUUACUUCAUUUUCAGAGUCACUGUAGAUGUAGAAAUCAUUACAAAUUUAUGUUGCCUUAAAUGUUAGUCUGUUUUACAAUCUCAGAAAGCCAUUUUAUUUAUUUUAAUGCAAAAAUAUAUUAAUACAUGCUAGAACUUGUUAAAAGUAUAAAUGAUUUAUGAAUUAUAUGUUUUAUUUAGUAAACAUAUUCAUAUGUAAAAGGUAAAGAUAAUAAUUUUCAAAAUAAAUGGUGAUUCUGAUACUAAUGUCUUUAGAGCAGAGGUGUUUCUGCUUUUGGCUUCCCUGGUCCAUAUUGGAAGAAGAAUUGUCUUGGGCCACAUGUAAAAUACACUAACAUUAACAAUAGCUAAUGAGCAAAAAAAAAAAAAAAAAAAAAAAAAAGAAGUCCAUACAUAAAUCUUAUAGCUUUUUUUUUUUUUUGAGACAGAGUUUCGCUCUUGUUGCCCAGGCUGGAGUGCAAUGGCACUAUCUUGGCUAACCGCAACCUCCGCCUCCCGGGUUCAAGCAAUUCUCCUGCCUCAGCCUCCCGAGUAGCUGGGAUUACAGGCAUGCGCCACCACGCCUGGCUAAUUUUGUAUAUUUUAGUGGAGACAGGGUUUCUCCAUGUUGGUCAGGCUGGCCUCGAACUCCUGAGCUCAGGUGAUCCGCCUGCCUCGGCCUCCCAAAGUGCUGGGAUUACAGGUGUGAGCCACUGCGCCUGGCCAAAUCUUAUAACAUUUUAAGAAAGUUUAUGAAUUUGUGUUGGGCUGCAUUCAGAGCUGUCCUGGGCCACAUGUAGCUCGUGGGCUACAGGUCGGACAAGCUUGCUUUACAGCUAUAUCUUGAUUAAAAGAAAAAGGAAAAAAAAAAAGCAAAAAAGUAAAUUACAUCUUUCCCAAUGAUACAAGGUAGGAAGAAAUGAAUGUGAAGUAUAACACUUAAGAAAUACUUCUUAGGGACUUGGCCUAGACCUUACAGAGUGAGCAAUAUUUGAAUUCAUGGAGAAGAUGGGGAACAGAUCACUGACAUAGAAACACAGAUCUGGCACACUAGAGAGUCGUCAGGAAACUGAACUGCAAGGGUGUGAGUGUGAUUGUAUUGGGAAACAAAGAUCAGAAUUAAGAAAAAAAAUACUUCAGGAAAACAACACAUCAGCAACUUUAUCUCCAAUUUUAAUCUCAAUGCCUCUUAUUUUAUUUACAAAUAAUUUUCAUAAAUGUUAGAGAUACAAAGUAAAUGAAGAAGACUAGACAAAUUUUUUUCUGACUUUCCAAGAGUUUGCCAUUUAUCUUGAAAGACAUAAAGAUUUUUUUUUAAUUUAAAAAUUAGUUCACCAUUUAAAACAAUGAACAAUCUAGUGGUAUACAAAAUGGAAGGAGAAGAAAGAAGGCUAUAGGCUUGAAAAAUCAUCUGCUGUGCAAAUUUUCAGAUUAAAUUGAUGGAAAAAUUAUCCAAGUUUGAAGAAUCUAUUCAUUGUGGCCCUUCUGACUGUCAAACAUGUUCCUUGGAUAAUAAAUCAUAUGAUGGCCCUUUAUAUAAUGUGUUUUUAUUUAAAAUUAUCCUUUGUUUAGAUUUUUUUUUUUAAAAAAAAAAGGUGGGUUUUGUUUUCUUAAUGGUACAUAAAAUAAUAGCACAUUUUGUUUUCUUAAUGGUACAUAAAAUAAUAGCACACUUUACAAUUUAGGGUGUUUUAGAUUCGAUGAAAUAUGGUAUAUUUGUUCACAAGUAUGGGUUUAUCUGUAAGAGAGAAUCCUAUAGAAACUGCUGGGUCAAAAGAUACAUGCAUUUAAAACAUUGACAGAUUCUGCUAAACUAUCUUAAAAGCAAAACCAACUAAAGAGUAUCCAUUUCCCCACACUCUCAUCAACACUGGACAUUACCAGUCCUUAAAAUUUUUCUUAUCUGACAGGCUCUCACCACUUCUUCAUUUUGGUGUCAAUCCGGAUAAUUUGAUGUGAUCCCUCAAAUUAUCAUAUGUUCCCCUCUAUGUGUAAUUGGUUCAAAUCUGCAUCACACUUCCCUAGAACAUGGGCCUUGGGACCUACACAUCUUUCUCCUCCUAAGAGAAAAUAAGGGGUCAUUUUCCCAGGGGGUGCUGGUGAGCAUCAUGGACUAUCAGGACAGGAGGGGAGCUCAGACACUGCCAAAUGGAGGGGGUUCUGAAAGGCAUUCAGGAAGGUCUACAGUGUUGCAUUCACGUGGCAGUGGACUCUUUUACAUUUCCAUUUGGAAAAAUAACAAUUAAAAUAAUCCUUUAGCAUCCCCCACUACCCAUUAAAAUGGAAACACUUUGGAAGCCUCUGAAUGCAUGCUCACCGGUACAUGAAGCAUACAUUCCUUGAACAACAGAUAUGCAUUCAUAUGACAGCUGCUUGGGUGGCGUCUCAUGUGAGCUUUGACUACUCUACAGCAAUAUUUUAAAAAGUCAUAUGGUGCUUAAUAUAUACCCAUAAUGAAAUGCUGGCAAAAAGUAGAAAAUAUAAAACGUUUGCUGGAAUAAAGUAAAAAUAAAAUAAAGUAAAUGAGGACCAUAAAAUCAUAAUUCUACGAUUUUGAACCAAGACUAUUUUCAUUCACUAGACCUACAAAUUGCAUUCAGCCCAUCAGACUGUUUAUAUGGCUCAUCACAAUGUCUCUUGUAUCUCUGAAACCAAAGUCAUAAAGAGAAAAUAGUGACAAUUAGAUCCGAUUUGGCCUCUUGUUAUUAGAAAUGAAGACCAGCAAUACCCACAUCAUAAUAUUUGCAGAAUGUCACUUGCAUACAGCAGUCUGAACCCUUCUGUUUUAUCUCAUCAUUUAGACAUACAAAAAGAAAGUAAUAAAAAUAAACCACUUUUUUAAAAAAAUGGAAAAUGCAUAAAUUCCAAACAUUCUAGGGUACAGGUGCACAACGUGCAGGUUUCAUACAUAGGUAUACAUGUGCCAUGUUGGUUUGCUGCACCCAUCAGCUCAUCAUUUACAUUAGGUAUUUCUCCUAAUGCUACCCCUCCCCGAGCUCCCCACCCCCUUACAGGCCCUGGUGUGUGAUGUUCCCCGCUCUGUGUCCAAGUGAUCUCAUUCUUCAAUUCCCACCUAUGAGUGAGAACAUGCAGUGUUUAGUUUUCUGUCCUUGUGAUUGUUUGCUGAGAAUGAUGGUUUCCAGCUUCAUCCAUGUCCCUGCAAAGGACAUGAACUCAUCUUUUUUAUGGCUGCAUAGUAUUCCAUGGUGUAUAUAUGCCACAUUUUCUUUAUCCAGUCUAUCACUGAUGGGCAUUUGGGUUGGUUCCAAGUCUUUGCUAUUGUAAAUAGUGCCGCAAUAAACAUACUUGUGCAUGUGUCUUUAUAGUAGCAUGAUUUAUAAUCCUUUGGGUAUAUACCCAGUAAUGGGAUGGCUGGGUCAAAUGGUAAUUCUAGCUCUAGAUCCUUGAGGAAUCACCACACUGUGUUCCACAAUGGUUGAACUAAUUUACACUACCACCAACAGUGUAAAAGCAUUCCUAUUUCUCCACUUCCUCGCCAGCAUCUGUUGUUUCCUGACUUUUUAAUGAUUGCCAUUCUAACUGGUGUGAGAUGGUAUCUCAUUGUGGUUUUAAUUUGCAUUUCUCUGAUGACCAGUGAUGAUGAGCAUUUUUUCUGUGUCUGUUGGCUGCAUAGAUGUCUUCUUUUGAGAAGUGUCUGUUCAUAUCCUUUGCCCACUUUUUGAUGGGGUUAUUUUUUUUCUUGUAAAUUUGUUUGAGUUCUUUGUAGAUUCUGGAUAUUAGCCCUUUGUCAGAUGGGUAGAUUGCAAAAAUUUUCUCCCAUUCUGUAGGUUGCCUGUUCACUCUGAUGGUAGUUUCUUUUGCCGUGCAGAAGUUCCGUACUUUAAUUAGAUCCCAUUUGUCUAUUUUGGCUUUUGUUGCCAUUGCUUUUGGUGUUUUAGUCAUGAAGUCCUUGCCCAUGCCUAUGUCCUGAAUGGUAUUGCCUAGGUUUUCUUCUAGGGUUUUAUGGUUUUAGGUCUAACAUUUAAAUCCUUAAUCCAUCUUGAAUUAAUUUUUGUAUAAGGUGUAAGGAAGUGAUCCAGUUUCAGCUUUCUACAUAUGGCUAGUCAGUUUUUCCAGCACCACUUAUUAAAUAGGGAAUCCUUUUCCCAUUGCUUGUGUUUGUCAGGUUUGUCAAAGAUUAGAUGGUUGUAGAUGUGUGGUGUUAUUUCCGAGGCCUCUGUUCUGUUCCAUUGUUCUAUAUAUCUGUUUUGGUAUGAGUACCAUGCUGUUUUGGUUACUGUAGCCUUGUAGUAUAGUUUGAAGUCAGGUAGCAUGAUGUCUCCAGUUUUGUUCUUUUUGCUUAGGAUUGUCUUGGCUAUGAGGGCUCUUUUUUGGUUCCAUAUGAACUUUAAAAUAGUUUUUUCCAACUCUGUGAAGAAAGUCAUUGGUAGCUUGAUGGGGAUGGCAUUGAAUCUAUAAAUUACUUUGGGCAGUAUGGCCAUUUUCAUGAUAUAGAUUCUUCCUAUCCAUGAGCAUGGAAUAUCCUUCCAUUUGUUUAUGUCCUCUUUUAUUUCAUGGAGCAGAGGUUUGUAGUUCUCCUUGAAGAGGUCCUUCACAUCCCUCGUAAGUUGGAUUCCUAGGUAUUUUAUUCUCUUAGUGGCAGUUGUGAAUGGGAGUUCACUCAUGAUUUGGCUCUCUGUUUGUCUGUUAAUGGUGUAUAGGAUUGCUUGUGAUUUUUGCACAUUGAUUUUGUAUCCUGAGACUUUGCUGAAGUUGCUUAUCAGCUUAAGGAGAUUUUGGACUGAGACGAUGGGGUUUUCUAAAUAUACAAUCAUGUCAUCUGCAAACAGGGACAAUUUGACUUCCUCAUUUCCUAAUUGAAUACCCUUUAUUUCUUUCUCUUGCCUGAUUGCCCUGGCCAGAACUUCCAACACUAUGUUGAAGUGGUGAGAGAGGGCAUCCUUGUUUUGUGCCGGUUUUCAAAGGGAAUGCUUCCAGUUUUUGCCCAUUCAGUAUGAUAUUGGCUGUGGGUUUGUCACAGAUAGCUCUUAUUAUUUUGAGAUAUGUUCCAUCAAUACAUAGUUUAUUGAGAGUUUUCAGCAUGAAGCGCUGUUGAAUUUUGUCAAAGGCCUUUUCUGCAUCUAUUGAGAUAAUCAUGUGGUUUCUGUCAUUGGUUCUGUUUAUGUGAUGGAUUACGUUUAUUGAUUUGCGUAUGUUGAACCAGCCUUGCAUCCCAGGGAUGAAGCCAAUUUGAUUGUGGUGGAUAAGCUUUUUGAAGUGCUGCUGGAUUUGGUUUGCCAGUAUUUUAUUGAGGAUUUUUGCAUUGAUGUUCAUCAGGGAUAUUGGUCUAAAAUUCUCUUUUUUUGUUGUGUCUCUGCUGGGCUUUGGUAUCAGGAUGAUGCUGGCCUCAUAAAAUGAGUUAGGGAGGGUUCCUUCUUUUUCUGUUGAUUGGAAUCGUUUCAGAAGGAAUGGUACCAGCUUCUCCUUAUACCUCUGGUAGAAUUCGGCUGUGAAUCUGUCUGGUCCUGGACUUUUUUUGGUUGGUAGGCUAUUAAUUGUUGCCUCAAUUUCAGAGCCUGUUAUUGGUCUAUUCAGAUAUUCAACUUCUUCCUUGGUUAUUCUUGGGAGGGUGUAUGUGUCCAGGAAUUUAUCCAUUUCUUGUAGAUUUUCUAGUUUAUUUGCGUAGAGGUGUUUAUAGUAUUCUCUGAUGGUAGCUUGUAUUUCUGUGGGAUCAGUGAUGAUAUCCCAUUUAUCAUUUUUUACUGCAUUUAUUUGAUUCUUCUCUCUUUUCUUGUUUAUUAGUCUUGCUAGCGGUCUAUCAAUUUUGUUGAUCUUUUAAAGAAACCAGCUCCUGGCUUCAUUGAAUUUUGAAGGUUUUUUUGUGUCUCUGUCUCUUUCAGUUCUGCUCUGAUCUUAAUUUCUUGCCUUCUGCUAGCUUGUGAAUCUGUUUGCUCUUGCUUCUUUAGUUCUUUUAAUUGUGAUGUUAGUGUGUCGAUUUUAGAUCUUUUCAACUUUCUCCUGUGGGCAUUUAGUGCUAUAAAUUUCCCUCUACACACUGCUUUGACUGUGUCCCAGAGAUUCUGAUGUGUUGUGUCUUUGUUCUCUUUGUUUUCAAAGAACAUCUUUAUUUCUGCCUUCAUUUCUUUAUUUACCCAGUAGUCAUUCAGAAGCAAGUUGUUCAGAUUCUAUGUAGUUGUGUGGUUUUGAGUGAGUUUCUUAAUCCUGAGUUCUACUUUGAUUGCUCUGUGGUCUGAGAGACAGUUUGUUGUGAUUUCUGUUCUUUUACAUUUGCUGAGGAGUGCUUUACUUCCAAUUAUGUGGUAAAUUUUAGAGUAGGUGCGAUGUGAUGCUGAGAAGAAUGUAUAUUCUGUUGAUUUGGGGUGAAGAGUUCUGUAGAUUUCUAUUAGACCUGCUUGUUGCAGAGCUGAGUUCAGGUCCUGGAUAUCCUUGUUAAUAUUCUGUCUCUUUGAUCUAAGUGACAGUGGGGUGUUAAAGUCUCCCAUUAUUAUUGUGUGGGAGUCUAAGUCUCUUUGUAGGUCUCUAAGGACUUGCUUUAUGAAUCUGGGUGCUCCUGUAUCGGCUGCAUAUAUAUUUAGGAUAGUUAGCUCUUCUUGCGGAAUUGAUCCCUUUACCAUUAUGUAAUGGCCUUCUUUGUCUCUUUUGAUCUUUGUUGGUUUAAAGUCUGUUUUAUCAGAGACUAGGAUUGCAACCCUUGCCUUUUUUUGCUUUCCAUUUGCUUGAUAGAUCUUCCUCCAUCCCUUUAUUUUGAGCUUACAUGUGUCUCUGCACGUGAGAUGGGUCUCCUGAAUACAGCAAACUGAUGAGUCUUGACUCUAUCCAAUUUGUCAGUCUGUGUCUUUUAAUUGGGGCAUUUAGCCCAUUUACAUUUAAGGUUAAUAUUGUUUUGUGUGAAUUUGAUCCCGUCAUUAUGAUGUUCGCUGGUUAUUUUGCCAAUUAAUUAUUGUGGUUUCUUCAUAGCAUCGAUGGUCUUUACAAUUUGGCAUGUUUUUGCAGUGGCUGGUACUGGUUGUUCCUUUCCAUGUUUAGUGCUUCCUUCGGGAGCUCUUGUAAGGCCGGCCUGGUGGUGACAAAAUCUCUCAGCAUUUGCUUGUCUGUAAAGGAUUUUAUUUCUCCUUCACUUAUGAAGCUUAGUUUGGCUGGAUAUGAAAUUCUGGGUUGAAAAUUCUUUUCUUUAAGAAUGUUGAAUAUUGGCCCCCACUCUCUUCUGGGUUGUGGGGUUUCUGCUGAGAAAUCCACUGCUAGCUUGAUAGGCUUCCCUUUGUGGGUAACUCAACCUUUGUCUCUGGGUGCCCUUAACACUUUUUCCUUCAUUUCAACCUUGGUGAAUCUGACAAUUAUGCGUCUUGGAGUUGCUCUUCUCAAGGAGUAUCUUUGUGGUGUUCUCUGUAUUUCCUGAAUUUUAAUGUUGGCCUGCCUUGCCAGGUUGUGGAAGUUCUCCUGGAUAAUAUCCUGCAGUGUGUUUUCCAACUUGGUUCCAUUCUCCCCAUCACUUUCAGAUACACCAAACAAAUAUAGAUUUGGUCUUUUCACAUAGUCCCAUAUUUCUUGGAGGCUUUGUUUCUUUUUACUCUUUUUUCUCUAACCUUGUCUUCUCACUUUAAUUUCAUUAAUUUGAUCUUCCAUCACUGAUACCCUUUCUUCCACUUGAUCGAAUCAGCUAUUGAAGCUUAUGCAUGCAUCAUGUAGUUCUCAUACCAUGGUUUUCAGCUCCAUCAGGUCAUUUAAGGUCUUCUCUACACUGUUUAUUCUAGUUAGCUAUUCAUCUAAUCUUUUUUCAAGGUUUUUAUCUUCCUUUCAAUGGGUUUGAACAUCCUCCUUUAGCUCAGAGAAGUUUGUUAUUACUGAAUUUCUGAAGUCUACUUCUGCCUACUUGUAAAAGUCAAUCUCUGUCCAGCUUUGUUCUGUUGCUGGCGAGGAGCUGCAAUCCUUUGUGGGAGAAGAGGCACUCUGAUUUUUAGAAUUUUCAGCUUUUCUGCUCUGGCUUCUCCCCAUCUCUGUGGUUUUAUCAACCUUUGGUAUUUGAUGUUGGUGACCUACAGAUGGGGUGCUGGUGUAGAUGGCCUUUUUGUUGAUGUUGAUGCUAUUCUUUUCUGUUUGUUAGUUUUCCUUCUAACAGUCAGGUCCCUCAGCUGCAGAUCUGUUGGGGUUUGCUGGAGGUCCACUCUGGAUGCUGUUUUCCUGGGUAUCACCAGCAAAGGCUGCAGAACAGCAAAUUUUGCAGUACAGCAAAUAUUGCUGCCUGAUCCUUCCUCCGGAAGCUUUGUCCCAGAGGGGCCUCCACCCAUAUGAGGUGUCUGUUGGCCCCUGCUGGGAGGUGUCUCCCAGUUAGACUACACGGUGGUCAGGGACCCACUUGAGGAGGCAGUCUGUCCAUUCUCAGAGCUCAAACAUCAUGCUGAGAGAACAUGCUGACUGCUCUCUUCAGAGCUGUCAGACAGGGACAUUUAAGUCUGCAGAAGUUGUCUGCUGUCUUUUGUUCAGCUAUGCCCUGCCCACAGAGGUGCAGUCUAGAGGCAGCAGGCCUUGUUGAGCUGUGGUGGGCUCCGCCCAGUUUGAGCUUCCCGGCUGCUUUGUUUACCUACUCAAGCCUCAGCAAUGGCAGAUGCCCCUCUCCCAGCCAGGCUGCCGCCUUGCAGAUUGAUCUCAGACUGCUGCGCUAGCAGUGUGCAAGGCUCCAUGGGCCUGGGACCCACCGGUCCAGGCACAGGAGAGAAUCACCUUGUCUGCCGGUUGCUAAGACCUUGGGAAAAGCAUUGCAUUUGGGUGGGAGUGCCCCAUUUUCCCAGGUAGUCUGUCACAGCUUCCCUUGGCUAGGAAAGGGAAAUCCCGCAACCCCUUGUGCUUCCCGGGUGAGGUGAUGCCCCGCCCUGCUUCGGCUCACCCUCAGUGGGCUACACCCACUGUCCAACCAGUCCCAGUGAGAUGAACCAGGUACCUCAGUUGGAAAUGCAGAAAUCACCUGUCUUCUGCAUUGAUCACACUGGGAGCUGCAGACCGGAGCUCUUCCUAUUCAGCCAUCUUCCCCUUACAUCCUUUGUUUAGAUUUUAAUGUAGAUAUAGCAGCUUUAUUUUUUUUGUCUUUAUUCAUUUUUAAUUUUUAAUGUCACUUUACCUUUCUAGUAUGUUAAACUAGAUCAGUGGAGGAAAUGCUAACAAUACUUUGAUUUCCUUGGAAAUUUUAUUGAUUAGUCUAAGGAUAAAUAUCUAGAAAAUUUACCUGAGCAUAGUAAAGGGUUUAGUAUAUAUGGCUAUAUAUCUUAAUAUACAUUUGCCAAGAGUUUAAUACUAAGGUUUUAACCCUUUAUACUUUAAAUAGCUCAUUGUGCCAAGAAAGGGAAGUGGAGGAAGAGGAGAAAAAAGGAGAAGAACUUACACUACCUGAUUUCAAGGCUUACUAUAAGGCUGCAGUAAACAAGGAAGUGUGAUAUUGGCAUAAGGCUAAACGUAUAGAUCACUGAAACAAAAUAGAAAGUUCAGAAACAUACAUACACAUAUAUGGUCAAUUAAUUCCAGGGCAAUUCAGUGGGACAAGAUAGUUUUGUUUUGUUUUGUUUUUUCAACAAAUGAUGCCCGACAACUGACAAGUUAUUUUUCAAAAAAGAGAGACAGAGAGAGGGAAGAGAACCUCCACUUUUACCUUGUACUAUGCACAAAAAGUAACUCUAAAAUGGAUACUAAAUUUAUAAAUGUAAAAGCUAAAACUACAAAUCUUGUGAGAAAAUGUACACUGAGACAUGCAACACAUGGAUGAUUCGUAAAAACGUUAUGCUGAGCAAAAUAAGCCAGAUACCAGAGGGUACGUAAAGUUCAUUUAUAGGAAAUUCUAGAAAAAACAAUUCUGAUCUAUAGCGACUGAAAGGAGGAGCCAGGUUUGGGGUGGGGAAUGCCUUAGAAGGGGCAUCAAAGAAACAUUUGGGGUUAUGAAAAUGUUAUCGAGCUUAAUUGUGGUGGUGGUUUCAUGGGUUUAUAAAUUUUUUAAAACUUAUCGACGUGUGCAUUUUAAAUGAAUACAUUUUACUGUAUGUAAAUUAUACCCCAAUAAUGUUGAUUUAACAACACUAUAGAAAACUAGAUUUAGAGUAUAAGUGCAAUACACAGAUAAAUAUAAGAUCUUUAAAAAGGUCAAGAAAAAAUAAACUAUUGAUUAGACCCAAAGCUGACUUUUCAACAGCAACAAAAAAGGAGGACAAUAAACUAUCUUUCGAAUGCUACGAGGAAAUGACUGCUAACCAAUGCUUGUAUGGCUGAUUUAAGAUUACCAUACAAGAAUAAUGAUGAAAUGUAGACAUUUUCAAAUGAACAAAAUCUAAGAGCCUUUACCACUAACAAAUGAUUACUGAAGCACUUCUGAAGAAGGAAACUACAGGAAGAAGGAAAGUGAACACAGAGAAACACAGUGAGAUUCAAGAAGUAUUUGUGUUCAAAUAUAGUCUUAAAAUGUGCUUAUGCCUAAACAAAGAGAUGUCAUAAAAUGAUAUUAUUUAUAAUAUUGAAUUCAGGAAGUUUUAAUAAAAAUAUGUAAUCACAAGGCAGGACAAAAAUAGCUUGUAUGAUAGGGUUUGGAAUUAAGAUAUUUUAAGGUCCUUGCAUUGUUUAGGGAAUAGGCUAUCAUAGUGAUUAACUUUGGCUUUGCUAGUUACAUAGCAAUGUUUUAAAACAAUAAAGGGUAAUUACUAAAAGGGCAAAAAUAGAAUUUCUAACUUCCUUUGGAAAAAAAAACUUAUAAACAUUUAAUAUAUCCCAAAGAAAAUUAAAAAUAAACAAAGCAAAUGCAAGACAGGGAGCAAAAAGGAAGAUGCUAAAAACACAACCAAAUAUCAGUAAUCACAACCAAUGAAAAUAGACUGACUCACCAGUUAAAGACUCAAUUUGAGAAUAGAUAAAAUAAAAUAUUUUUAAAAAUUUAGCUAUAUGGGAAUUUUCUGAAACUAAGGGUUGAGUAACAUGAAAGUUUAAAAUGGAAAAGGAUAUAACAAAGUGCAGCUGCUAUAUCUAUAUUAAUAUCUGAAAGAAAUAACUUUAAGUAAAAAACUUUAAGUAAAAAAAAAAUAUUUGAAGGGUUACUUGAUCUAUUAUCCAAAGGAUAUGUUUGAGAGUGAGAAAGUCCACUCAAUAAUUUCUCAGGGGCACAAGCAUAAACCAGGACUGUCCUUGGAAAAUAAUUAUUAUUGGGAAUAAAUAGCAUCAUUAUAUGACAUGAGAAAGUACAAUUCACAGGAAAAUUUUAAAAUUUUUAAAUGAGUAUAAACCUGUCUUCUUAGCUUAAAAAUUGACAAAAUUACAAAAGAUAUUAAUAAACCCACCAAUAUAGUAUGGGAAAUUUUAACUCAGCUCUCGUAUAAACUGAUAAAUCAGUCAGACAAACAUUAGUAAGACUAUCCAGGAUUUUAACAAAUAAGAGAUACCAGUCAAAGGACACAAAAUUUCAGUUAGGUGGGAGGAAUAAGUUCGAAAGUUCUACUAUACAGCAAGGUGACUAUAGUUUUUUAAAAAAAGAACUGAAAAAGCUUCAUCUAAAUGGACAUUGUGGUUGAUGAGAGAUGGCUGUAGUUCUUUGUUAUUCUUCCCAUUGAGAGGUAGGUCUUCUUCCUUCCCCUUGACUGCUUAGAUCAAUCAAGUACAGUGGAAUUGACAUCAUACUCCUUCAGGGACAAAUCUGUAAGGACUGUCAGCUUUCAUUUUGAUUUUUGGUUGACCUGAGAUGCCAUGUAAGAAGUCCAACUACCCUGUGACCGCUAUGCUAUGAAAAAAUCCAAGUUAGCCACCUAGAGGGGCUUGUGUGGAGAGAAGAGAGAGAUGUCCAGCCAGCCCUUAGCUGUUCUAACCCCCAACCAUCUGAGUCAUCCCAGCUGGGCCCCAGACAUCAAAGACCUGUAUUUGCUGUGCUUUGAAUAAAUUCCUAAUGCCAGAGUCAUAAGAUAUACCACCAACAAAUUGUUGUUACAUCACUAAGUGAUCUGUUAUUGUAGUAAAAUGUACAUAACAUUAAAUUUACCAUUUUAGUCAUUUUUAAGUGUACAUUUCAGUGGCAUUAAGUAAACUCACAUUGUUUUAUAACAAUCACCACCAUCUAUCUCCAGAACUUUUUCUUCUCCCCAAACUGAAGGACCACUAGAUUUUAGAAUAGUUUGUUACACAGAGAAGAAAACCAGAAUAUUUUACCCCAAAAAUGUUUCCUAGACAUAAAAAUUAUUUUUGAGCUGAAGGCAAUUGAAUAGCAACAAAGAGAGGAAAAUCUCUCUCUAUCCCCCGCUGUUCUGCCCAAAGACAGGAUGUAAAUUCUCCUUUACUGGAGAUAACUUAGCAACUCAUUGAUGAAUUGAUUUCUGGAGAGAAGGCACCAGAGAAUCUGCAAACAAACCUCAUUCCAUUAGUUUCUCCCCAUAUAUUCCCUUCCCACAGUUUCCCACCUGUGGAAGGCUAAAACCACUUUCCUUUGUCCUGUCAUUUCUCCACAAAUUUAUUGUUCUUUGUUGAAGAUGCUGUUAAUAAUUUAAGUCAGAGUUCUAAAUAACUGCUUUGAAUUACUUUUCAGGCAGGAUUCUCCCACAUGAUGUGCUCUGCAAGCAUGAAUAAACUUGUUUUUCUCCUCUUAAUCUGCUUUUUGUUAGCGGUGUUCUAGCUAAGAACUAUAAGGGGCUCAGGAGAAAAAUUAUUUUUCCUACUCAACAACAGCAAUAGCUGACCCAAACAGACACACAUAGAAUCUUGUACCUAGUAAUUAGAGAAUUCAAGAGGAAAUACACAAAUAAAACAUACAAAGGGUGCAAAUGAAGAAUUGAAACUGUGUUAUUUGCAAAAAAUUAAUUUCCACAGAGAAAACCCAAAAGAAACUAAUGACAAAUUGUUAAACAUAGUAAUACAUUCAGCAAGUUUAAAUGUAUGAAAAUCAAUUGCAUUCCUCUACAUCAGCAAUAGUUAUACAAUAUAAUUUUUAAAGUAACAUUUAAAAACAAAAAUAAGGUAUCAAAAAUUUACCAAUAGUUGUGCAGACUUUAAGAAAAAUUUAUAAGCCUUUAUUGAUACUUUAAAAGAGACCUACUAAUAUAUCAUGUAUGUGGAUACAAAUACUCGGAACAUAAAGAUAUCAAUUUUCCUUCAAAUUCAUCACAAUUCCAGAUUCCACCAAGUUUUUGUUUUGUUUUGUGGACUUUAACAAAGAAGGAGUCAUUAGAAUCCUUCCAAAGAAAUGAGAGAACAUAGGGCAAAAAUAACCAGGUCACUCUUGAAGAAAAACUACAAAGUGGGACCUCAUCCUGAUAUUAAGACUUAAUAAUAAAAAUAUUAUAAUUACAAUAGUGUGGUAUUAGCAAAAGAAUAGGGAAAAGAGAACAGUGGAAGGAACAAAGAAUCCAGAAACAGAUCCAGGCCCGUAUGGAAACUUGAGAUUUAACAUCAGUGGCAUUGCAGAUCAGUAGGGAAAGAUAAACCAUUUAAUAAAUACUGCUGAGAUGAUGGGUAUCUAUACAGAGGGAAAAAUAAAAUUGGAUUUCUACCUCACAUGAUGUACAAAAUCUGCCUCAAGUAAAGACCAACAUAUACAAAGUAAAAUCUUCAAACUUUUGGAAUAAAGUAUAGAAGAAUAUUUUUGUGCUUUCAGAGUUGGGAAAGAUUUUGAUAUCAAUAAAUAGAAAAUGAAACCUUUAAGGAAAAGAUUAUGAAUCAAUUAGACCACAUUAACAUUUAAAAUGUCUGUGCAUCUAAAGACACCAUUUUAAAAAGUGAGAGAAGACAAACCACUAACUAGAGAAGACAUUUGCAAUGCAUAUUGGCAACAAAUAUUUAGCAUAGAGUAUGUGUACAUAUAUAUAAAAUGUCUACAAAUCCCUACCAAAAAAUCAAAUAGCAAUUAACAUGAACACACAUGAAAAUGCUCAAUCUCACUAGUAAUAGAAUAAUUGUAAAUAAAAAUAGGCCAGGCGCAGUGGCUCACGCCUGUAAUCCCAGCACUUUUGGAGGCCAAGGCGGGCGGAUCACGAGGUCAGGAGAUCGAGACCAUCCUGGCCAACAUGGUGAAACCCCAUCUCUACUAAAAAUACAAAAAUUAGCUGGGCAUGGUGGUGCACGCCUGUAAUCCCAGCUACUCGGAAGGUGAGGCAGGAUAAUCGCUUGAACCCGGG
This 18123-nucleotide long non-coding RNA is filed under the name Homo sapiens (human). RNAcentral's name for it is "HSALNT0335252". Lineage: Eukaryota; Metazoa; Chordata; Mammalia; Primates; Hominidae. The record is from RNAcentral.